UACGUAGGCAGCGAGCGUUGUUCGGAGUUACUGGGCGUAAAGCGUGCGUAGGCGGUGUCUUAAGUUUGUUGUGAAAUCUCCCGGCUUAACCGGGAGGGUGCGGCGAAUACUGAGAUGCUGGAGUGCCGGAGAGGUAAGCGGAAUUCCUGGUGUAGCGGUGAAAUGCGCAGAUAUCAGGAGGAACACCGGUGGCGAAGGCGGGUCUCUGGGCAGCAACUGACGCUGAGGCACGAAGGCCAGGGGAGCAAACGGG
This 253-nucleotide ribosomal RNA is filed under the name uncultured bacterium. RNAcentral describes it as "partial 16S ribosomal RNA". It matches the Rfam family "Bacterial small subunit ribosomal RNA", at positions 524 to 776 of the family's 1533-position model. The record is from RNAcentral.